CACCGCGGUUAUACGAGAGGCCCAAGUUGACCCAAGCCGGCGUAAAGAGUGGUUAAUGUAGACUAAACUAAAGCCGAACACCUUCAAAGCUGUUAUACGCACUUGAAGACAAGAAGCCCUUUUACGAAAGUGGCUUUAAGCAAUAUGACGCCACGAAAGCUAUGGAA
RNAcentral lists this ribosomal RNA (167 nucleotides) under Myersina macrostoma (bigmouth shrimpgoby). RNAcentral's name for it is "partial 12S rRNA". Lineage: Eukaryota; Metazoa; Chordata; Actinopteri; Gobiiformes; Gobiidae. The record is from RNAcentral.